Molecule: ribosomal RNA, 869 nt
Filed under: uncultured archaeon
Lineage: Archaea
Description: bacterial SSU rRNA
Rfam family: Archaeal small subunit ribosomal RNA
Source: RNAcentral
CUCCGGGUGAUCCCGGCGGGACCCGACUGCUAUCAGAGUGGGACUAAGCCAUGCGAGUCGACGUAGCAAUGCGUGGCGAACGGCUCAGUAACACGUAGUCAACAUGCCCAGGGGACGUGGAUAACCUCGGGAAACUGAGAAUAAACCACGAUAGGUCACGAUUUCUGGAAUGGAUCAUGGCCUAAAUCUACAUGGCCCCUGGAUUGGACUGCGGCCGAUCAGGCUGUUGGUGAGGUAAUGGCCCACCAAACCUGUAACCGGUACGGGCUCUGAGAGGAGAAGCCCGGAGAUGGGCACUGAGACAAGGGCCCAGGCCCUAUGGGGCGCAGCAGGCGCGAAACCUCUGCAAUAGGCGAAAGCCUGACAGGGUUACUCUGAGUGAUUUCCGCUAAGGGGAUCUUUUGGCACCUCUAAAAAUGGUGCAGAAUAAGGGGUGGGCAAGUCUGGUGUCAGCCGCCGCGGUAAUACCAGCACCCCGAGUGGUCGGGACGAUUAUUGGGCCUAAAGCAUCCGUAGCCGGUUCUGCAAGUCUUCCGUUAAAUCCAGCCGCUCAACGGAUGGGCCGCGGAGGAUACUACAGGACUAGGAGGCGGGAGAGGCAAGCGGUACUCAGUGGGUAGGGGUAAAAUCCUUUGAUCCAUUGAAGACCACCAGUGGCGAAGGCGGCUUGCCAGAACGCGCUCGACGGUGAGGGAUGAAAGCUGGGGGAGCAAACCGGAUUAGAUACCCGGGUAGUCCCAGCUGUAAACGAUGCAGACUCGGUGAUGGGCUAGCCUUGUGCCAGCCCAGUGCCGCAGGGAAGCCGUUAAGUCUGCCGCCUGGGGAGUACGGUCGCAAGACUGAAACUUAAAGGAAUUGGCGGGGGAGCA